Molecule: long non-coding RNA, 921 nt
Organism: Papaver somniferum (opium poppy)
Lineage: Eukaryota; Viridiplantae; Streptophyta; Magnoliopsida; Ranunculales; Papaveraceae
Exons: 2
Source: RefSeq, a predicted model, not a curated record
CAAAUAUGUACCUGAGAUCCACCAUGACCGUCGUAAACUCCGAAGAAAUGAACGGGUUGGAUUUCAGAAGAAACUCUUGACGACGGAGCUGUACAACCUCCGAUAUCUCGACACGUAUGAUUACUGAUAAAACCAGGUUCUGUUAAUCCCCCGUCAUCUCCACCAUUAUUAUUCGAAUUUUCUACAAUAUUAUUCGGAUUUUCAAUUGUCGAGGUAGUAGGUAUUGUUGAAGGAGAAGAAGAAAUUAGGUUAAGAUUUGAUGAUGAAGAUGAAGGUAAAGAAACAGCAGGAACCAUUAUAUCAGCUAAAGGAAGAAGAAUCUCACUAGAAAUACUACUGCUACUACUUGUCGUUGUACUAUUACUACUACUCCUACUAAUUUCUUGAUCAGUACUGAAAUAAUUUGAUGAUGAUAAUGAUUCUAUUGUUGUUGCUGUUGAUAUCGAAACAGAAUCAUCACAUUCUUCUUCAUCUUCUUUAGAUCCCGGUAUUACACUUCCUAAUCCUUUAUCUCCUUCUUCUUCUUCUCCUCCUUGCUUCUUAACCAGAUCUUCAUCCUCUAACAGAUCCAUCAAAACAAUCAGAAAACAGAGAAAAUUAUAAUGGGAGAUUAGGACAAUAGACGGUCCAGGAAAAAGAAUUUGGAGAGAGAAAAGGAAGAGAGGCUUUGAUGAGUGAAGAUUGGGAUUAAAAAGGAAAAAUGAAGAAACAACAGAGAGAUGACACGUGUGAGGGGUGCAGAAAAAUAGAUGACACACGCAUUCUUGUUGCUUUGUUUUUUGUUUAGAUGAUUGACACGAAUAUUAAAUUCAACGGUUGUUAUUUAAGCACGUAUUAUUUGUUUUUGAUUUAUUUAUUUUUUUUUGUUAUUUUGACCUAAACGACUUUAAUUAUAUUUGUGUUGUUGGCCUAUUGUUGUCA